RNAcentral lists this ribosomal RNA (496 nucleotides) under uncultured bacterium. RNAcentral describes it as "partial 16S ribosomal RNA". It matches the Rfam family "Bacterial small subunit ribosomal RNA", at positions 28 to 507 of the family's 1533-position model. The record is from RNAcentral.
GAUGAACGCUGGCGGCGUGCCUAAUACAUGCAAGUCGAACGCUGAAGGAGGAGCUUGCUCUUUCCGGAUGAGUUGCGAACGGGUGAGUAACGCGUAGGUAACCUGCCUGGUAGCGGGGGAUAACUAUUGGAAACGAUAGCUAAUACCGCAUAACAGUAGAUAUUGCAUGAUAUUUGCUUGAAAGGGGCAAUUGCUCCACUACCAGAUGGACCUGCGUUGUAUUAGCUAGUUGGUGAGGUAACGGCUCACCAAGGCGACGAUACAUAGCCGACCUGAGAGGGUGAUCGGCCACACUGGGACUGAGACACGGCCCAGACUCCUACGGGAGGCAGCAGUAGGGAAUCUUCGGCAAUGGACGGAAGUCUGACCGAGCAACGCCGCGUGAGUGAAGAAGGUUUUCGGAUCGUAAAGCUCUGUUGUAAGAGAAGAACGAGUGUGAGAGUGGAAAGUUCACACUGUGACGGUAGCUUACCAGAAAGGGACGGCUAACUACGUG